Molecule: ribosomal RNA, 325 nt
Filed under: uncultured Pseudomonadota bacterium
Lineage: Bacteria; Pseudomonadati; Pseudomonadota
Description: bacterial SSU rRNA
Rfam family: Bacterial small subunit ribosomal RNA
Source: RNAcentral
AUUGAACGCUGGCGGCACGCUUAACACAUGCAAGUCGAGCGGUAACAUGGUCUGUAGCAAUACAGACUGAUGACGAGCGGCGGACGGGUGAGUAACACGUAGGAACCUGCCCAGAAGAGGGGGACAACCAAGGGAAACUUUGGCUAAUACCGCGUAAUCUCGAAAGAGAAAAGUUGCCCGCAAGGGUGACGCUUUUGGAGGGGCCUGCGUCCGAUUAGCUAGUUGGUGAGGUAAUAGCUCACCAAGGCAGUGAUCGGUAACUGGUCUGAGAGGACGACCAGUCACACUGGGACUGAGACACGGCCCAGACUCCUACGGGAGGCAG